This 253-nucleotide ribosomal RNA is filed under the name uncultured bacterium. RNAcentral's name for it is "partial 16S ribosomal RNA". It matches the Rfam family "Bacterial small subunit ribosomal RNA", at positions 524 to 776 of the family's 1533-position model. The record is from RNAcentral.
UACGGAAGGUGCAAGCGUUGUUCGGAAUUAUUGGGCGUAAAGAGUACGUAGGCGGAUUUGUAUGUCGAUUGUGAAAUCCCAGGGCUUAACCUUGGAAUUGCAGUCGAAACUGCGGAUCUUGAAUACCUGAGAGGGUGGAAGAAUUCCUGGUGGAGAAGUGAAAUUCGUAGAGAUCAGGAGGAAUACCGGAGGCGAAGGCGCCUGCCUGGCAGUGUAUUGACGCUGAGGUACGAAAGCGUGGGGAGCAAACAGG